Non-coding RNA from Prunus mume (Japanese apricot), 1946 nucleotides. Lineage: Eukaryota; Viridiplantae; Streptophyta; Magnoliopsida; Rosales; Rosaceae. The record is from RefSeq and is a predicted model, not a curated record.
UCCAAACUCUUUUGAACAAUGAACAUCUUAAAACUGCUGAUAUUUUGAUACUAUUUUGAUGUUUUAAUUGCUGCUUGGUUUAUUAAAAUAUGGUCAAUAUUUUAACAUGACAAACUGCAUAUAAAUCGUGUUAUUUGUCUAUUUUUUGUAACAUAAACUUGCCAAAUAAAGCAUGAUGCCACUAUUUAGAUCUCCAUGUCUAUAUAAAUAUUUCCAUCUUUCAUAUAUUUUUUCACAAUUUUGUAUACAUUUCACACGGUUUUAAAUCCCGCAGCAUCGCGCGGGUACCUUUGCUAGUUAUAUAUAUACUAAAGCUGAAUAAAAUCACUGUUUCUAGACUAUUCAUUCGCAAUAGUGAAAUGACGGUUUUGCCCUCCACUAAACCCUCCCUUUUCAGACCCAAAAAAAAAAAAAAAAAAAAAAAAAAACUCUCUUUUUGUCCUGUCGACUUCCCCUUCGAGUUCAACUCUCUUUUCGUCUUCAUCGCUCUCAUCGUUUCAUCGUCUCAUCGUUCUCAUCCUUUCUUGCGUUCUCAUCUCAUCCUUCUUCAAAAUUGCCUAUUGAGAAGUAAAAAUCGAAGCCAAGCAAGUACAAAUCGAUAAGAGGGGUAAACUUGCCUAUUGAGAAGUAAAAAAAUGUUGGUUCAGCCAUCUUUCCAGUUCCGCUUCAUCCUUCUUCUCAUCGCACGGGUUUAGCUCAGAGGGAUUUCUAGGUUUUGGAAAAAAAAAGGGAGGAAGAUCUAAGGAAAAAGAACUGGAGUAAUCAAUUUGAGAACCCUCAGUCUGCUCAUCAAUUUGAAAACAUUCGCUGAGCUGCUUAAUAAAGCUCCGGUCGAUACACAAGUUGGGAGUUUAGACGCAAAUUCUUCUUUGAAAGACGCUUGUGUGAGGCGAUUCUUUUUUUCAGGCAACUCGAUUCCAAUGACCAGCAAGAAGCGAUUGAAAACAUGCUUGGUCAGUUGUCGUGGAAGGGAAGCGAAGCCUUGAAAGAUGUCACACACUUGAGACUCUCCGAGGAACGCGAGGAGGAUUUUAGGCUCAGAAGAUUCAUAAAGCUGUGUAGUAGAUAUAACGGCCUUUUGUAUAACUAGAUAUAACGGCCUUUUGUAUAACUUCAUAAGUAAUGAAGCUAAGGGCUGGGAUCUAGCCUUUUGUAUAACUUCAUAAGUAAUGAAGCCAAGGGCUGGGAUCUAGAAAGUCUACAUAUGCAGAAGGCAGGUGAAGAAGAGAUGGAAUUAAUCAAGCAGUCCCGCUAUGCUGAAUAUUACUUGGGGCUGUCAAUUAUUUGGUUCAAAGCACGAUGGGCCAGUGAUCCAGAUAGUAAAUUUGGAGAAGGUGAUAGUGAUCCAGAUGGUAAAUUUGGAGAAGGUGAUCAUAUCAUUGAUAAACUCGUCAAUGAGACUGAGGAGGAUAUUCAGCUCGUUAAACUACUUCAAUUCAGUUCCCAGAAUGAUAUUGUGGAACGUAUUCUAGAUAUCUGUCUGGAGACAGAGGAUGAGUUUACUCAAGAAUUUGUAUGUGCGGGUGUCCGGAGCAAGGGGAGGAGUUUGCUCACGAUUUUGUAUAUAUGCUGAAAGUGAAGGAGUGUCUGGAGCCAGAGGAGGAGUUUUCUCUUGAAUUCAUGAAGGUGAAAACUCCAAAUCCAAGAGGAUCAGGAGGAGCAGCAGCCACUCAAGGAGGAGGGCAGGGAGCAAUUACACAAGGAGGCCAGGGGACAAGCCAACAGUAGAUCAUUUGCAGCCACGCACUUCGCAAAGAAGCAGCCUUCAAAUAACACAAUUCGGGAGAUGGAGCAGCACUACUCUUCUUUAUGAGUUUGCCCUGUCUCACCAGCUUGUGCGUUUUAUUUGUUUUUUGUUUUUUUUGAAGGUACUCUUCUUGUUUGUUAUGAGACGAGAUGCAAAAGGCAAGUCUCUGAUUUAUGAAUAAAUGUCUAUUAUGUGUGUU